RNAcentral lists this small nuclear RNA (104 nucleotides) under Rhinopithecus roxellana (golden snub-nosed monkey). The record is from RNAcentral. Lineage: Eukaryota; Metazoa; Chordata; Mammalia; Primates; Cercopithecidae.
ACACUGCCUAGCAUAUAUAUUAAAAUUGGAUGAUACAAAGUAGAUUAGCAUGCCUCCUGUGAAAGGAUGACAUGCUGAAAUGGAAAUUCGUGCUCCAUAUUUUU